RNAcentral lists this ribosomal RNA (464 nucleotides) under uncultured bacterium. RNAcentral's name for it is "partial 16S ribosomal RNA". It matches the Rfam family "Bacterial small subunit ribosomal RNA", at positions 28 to 507 of the family's 1533-position model. The record is from RNAcentral.
GACGAACGCUGGCGGCGUGCUUAACACAUGCAAGUCGAACGGAAAGGCCCUGCUUGCAGGGUACUCGAGUGGCGAACGGGUGAGUAACACGUGGGUGAUCUGCCCUGCACUUCGGGAUAAGCCUGGGCAACUGGGUCUAAUACCGGAUAGGAGCCACUUCCAGUGUGAUGGUCGGAAAGCUUUUUCGGUGUAGGAUGAGCUCGCGGCCUAGCAGCUUGUUGGUGGGGUAAUGGCCUACCAAGGCGGCGACGGGUAGCCGGCCUGAGCGGGUGGACGGCCACAUUGGGACUGAGAUACAGCCCGGACUCCAACGGGAGCCAGCAGUGGGAGAUAUUGCACAAUGGGCGCAAGCCUGAUGCGACGGCGCCGCGUGGGGGAUGGCGACCUUCGGGUUGUAAACUCCUUUCGCUAGGGACGAAGCUUUUGUGACGGUACCUAGAGAAGAAGCACCGGCUGCCUUCGUG